UACGAAGGGGGCUAGCGUUGCUCGGAAUCACUGGGCGUAAAGCGCACGUAGGCGGACUCUUAAGUCGGUGGUGAAAUCCUGGAGCUCAACUCCAGAACUGCCUUCGAUACUGGGAGUCUCGAGUUCGGGAGAGGUGAGUGGAACUGCGAGUGUAGAGGUGAAAUUCGUAGAUAUUCGCAAGAACACCAGUGGCGAAGGCGGGUCUCUGGGCCGAUACUGACGCUGAGGAGCGAAAGCGUGGGGAGCGAACAGG
This 253-nucleotide ribosomal RNA is filed under the name uncultured bacterium. RNAcentral's name for it is "partial 16S ribosomal RNA". It matches the Rfam family "Bacterial small subunit ribosomal RNA", at positions 524 to 776 of the family's 1533-position model. The record is from RNAcentral.